CAAGCAGGCUAUCUUAUCGCUGUUCGUCUUUUGGACGAAGAGAGGAAAGUCCGGACACCAUAGAGCAGUAUAGCGGGUAACGCCCGUCCUUUCUUCGGAAAGCGGACCAGUGCAACAGAAAGCAAGUACAGUUCGGCUGUAGUGAAAUCGGUAAACUCUAUACGGUGAAACGCCAAGUAAAUCUGUAUUUUUGGGUGGCUCGCCCAACGCAGAAGGGUAGGCGGAUGGAGGCGUUCAGUAAUGUGCGUCCUAGAUAAAUGAUAAGACCCGACAGAAUCCGGCUUAUCGGCCUGCUUUUUUU
RNAcentral lists this RNase P RNA (301 nucleotides) under Flavobacteriaceae bacterium TMED120. Its description in RNAcentral is "RNase P RNA component class A". It matches the Rfam family "Bacterial RNase P class A". From Rfam's summary of the family: Ribonuclease P (RNase P) is a ubiquitous endoribonuclease, found in archaea, bacteria and eukarya as well as chloroplasts and mitochondria. Lineage: Bacteria; Pseudomonadati; Bacteroidota; Flavobacteriia; Flavobacteriales; Flavobacteriaceae. The record is from RNAcentral.